AUGGCCUUUGAAGAUAUCUUCGGCUCCCCCACCUCUCCGGCGACCAGCCCCACCUCCUCAGCUGCCAUCUCCUCUGGGACCUCCCCCACUGCUCCGGCUACUUUCUCUGCCACCACCGCUGCCCCCUCCACCACCACCGCUCCCUCCUCCGGCCAGUCCCCCCUCAACAUCCACCAUGACCACAUCUCCAACUACAUCAAGUUCAAGUUGGAUCCAGCCGAAAACAACUUUUCCAAGUGGCGCACCUUCUUCCGCAUGGUCCUCCUUCAGUACCGCGUCCAGGAUCACGUCGACCGCCCUCCUCCACGUACCGCCGAUGCCGACUGGCUCGCGGUCGACCAGCGCCUCGUCAUGUGGAUGCUCUUCACACUGGCCGAUCCUCUUCUGGAGCUCAUCUCCGGCGGUGUUCUUGACGCCUACACCGCCUGGCAGCGCAUCGCCGACUACUUUCUGGCCAACCAGGGCGCUCAGAUCCUCCACCUCACUCGCCGGUACCGGAACCUGCAGCAAGGUGAUCUCCCCAUCGUCGAGUAUGCCCGCCGCCUCAAGGCCCUGGAGGACGGCCUGGCGGACGUGGGCACCGCCGUCAGCGACAACGACCUCACCAUGCAGCUUCUUCAUGGCCUCGCCCCUCGCUUCGAGACGAUCCGCGUCGUGCUGGGCGACACCAACCCGCUCCCGCCCUUCGGCGUCGUUCGCUCGCGCCUCGAGCUGGCAGAGUACAGCCUCUCCCUGCGCACGGCCACCGACAGCGCCGCCGCUCUCUCCAUCACCCACGGCGGCUCCGGCGGAUCGGGUGGCCACGGUGGUCCCGGUGGCUCUGGCGGUCCCGGUGGCUCCGGUGACCGCGGUGGCUCGCGCCCUUCUUCUGGCGAUCGCGCCAGUCCUGACGGCGCCCACGGGCGUGGCGGCGGCUCCCGCGGUGGCUCCAACGGUGAGCGCAGCCGUGGUCGUGGCCGCGGACGUGGUGACUCGUCUGGUCGCGGCGCUCCAUCCGCGCCCACCGCCCCAUUCACGGGCUACUUCGCCCCGUACGGCAUGGCGCUGCCGUCUCCCCGCCCCGGUUGGUCUGCACCCAACGCCGCAGGCGUGCUCGGUCCUCGUCCGGGUGUCCACUCGCAGGCCUAUCCGGUCAUGCUCUCUGGGCCUUCGCCGCCAUACUCCGCGCCGGCCGGGCAGCUGCAGUUCCAUCCGCCCGCGCCCUCCUGGGAUCAUGCCGCCCUCUUCAAUCACGCCGCCAACCAGUCGGGCUUCCCCUCCAAUGAGUGGUACAUGGACACCGGCGCCUCAUCUCACGUAACGGGCAACCAAGGAUCUUCGCACUCAGACAGUACUCAUGACGUCCAGUAG
RNAcentral lists this ribosomal RNA (1350 nucleotides) under Triticum aestivum (bread wheat). Its description in RNAcentral is "partial small subunit ribosomal RNA". Lineage: Eukaryota; Viridiplantae; Streptophyta; Magnoliopsida; Poales; Poaceae. The record is from RNAcentral.